Molecule: small RNA, 377 nt
Filed under: Arabidopsis thaliana (thale cress)
Lineage: Eukaryota; Viridiplantae; Streptophyta; Magnoliopsida; Brassicales; Brassicaceae
Description: ATSL213390
Source: RNAcentral
UAAAAUGACUGAUUAAAGGAUAAAAUAAAACAAAUCUCUAUAUUCUUUUUUACAAUCUCUUUUUUUUAGUAAAAUGUUAAAUUUUAUAUCAUUUUAAAUUUUUGACAGAAGUUAUAAAGAGAACUGAGAACGGAUUAAAGCAAUUUACAGAAAAGUAAAAUAAUAUUACUACUCUAAUUGUAUACGAUUGCUCAAGAGCGCAUACCAGUAAAUCGCAAAGAAAAACACCAAUUCCAAAUCUACUAAACUCGGAAAUUUGUGUGGUUGUCACAGAACCAACAUUCUAAAAUUCUCAUUCUAAUUGUUAUGAGCGGAAAUAUGUUUACUAAUUUAGCGGAAAUAUUUGAUGAUACUAGUUUUACUUUUGAUUUUUUGAA